AUGACUUGAACUCCCUUUCUUCUGGUUCUAUGAGGUGGAGGUCAUUUUGCCAGGUUUUGUUUCCCAACUAUACUUUUCCUAUUUGACAGCUGUCACUGCCAGACUUCACAAAUACUGCCAAAUCUAAUUUAGACAUUUUUUCCUAUGUAUACAUUAAAAAUAGUUAGAAUUAUCAUACUAGUGGUUUAUCUUCAACUUCUUAAUUCAAGUAUUGUGAGGGAAAGUGAUCUCAUCUCCAAAAUUGGAUUAAAUAUGUCCAACUUAAGUUUUUUCCAAAUUUUGCAUUAUGCAGCCUUAAAAAGGACUCAAAUGAAAAACUAGUGGAAUUUUUUUGUUAACUAUUCACAUUUUCAAAUAGGAAUAAUUAUUUGCUUAUAGAGAUAGACUCUCAAAUAAAUAAGGCUACAUUCAAUGAAUAAGCUAAAAUAGUCCCCAACAUUUUACACAUCUCUUCAAACAAAAACAACUUUUGUGCCAAAAAAUGAAUAUAAUGAGCACUUUGAGUAGACACAAACAUUUAAAGUCAGGUUGAGACUUCAGUCCAUGCAAUGGAAGACACCACCAAUGAAGUAUAUUCAGUCAUUCUUAAAAUUACAAUCUAUUAUAGUUUACCAAUAAUUUUCUAAAUCUGCCAUCAUAACCACAUACCUCACUAAAAAUUUUCAUUUUUUUUAAGACAGUAAACCUGUUAUUUUCUGAACACAAGACUGUAUGAUCCCUCUUAAGCUUUCUUUUCUAGCACAAAUUCACUUGUAAUACAGAGAUUAAUCCUCAAACAGUGCACAUGAAGGUAAAACACUUUUACCCAUCUGCCAUUCUGUGUCAAAGUUACACUCCUAUAUCUACAAACACAUCAUUCACCUUUGUUUUUUGAGUGUUGCUUUCAGACUACAUUUUCCACAGAUUUUUUUUUAUUUUUUUUUUUGAAUCCUUCAUGUCUGUCUCGUGUAGUUCAGUAGUUAGUGAGGUCACUAGACCGCUGGUCUGAUUCAAGGUACAUUUCCUGAGACCAGGCCAAAUAAGACCAUUUUAAUAGACAAUAGGUCACAAACUGUCCCUCCAUUAAAUUCUCUGUAUUACCCUUAAGUGGUUGUGCUUAUAAACUUGCAGCUAUUGCUUUACAUAUUGUAUUUAACUUAAUUCUGACCAAAACACAAUUUUCUGACUGCAUUAUAACAAUAGAAUCAUAGAAUCAUACAAUGGCAUGUGUUUGAAGGAACCUUAAGAAUCAUCUAGCUCCAGUCCUACGCUGUGGGAGAAGUUGCCACCCAUUAGAUCAGGCUGCCCAGGGCCCCAUCCAACAUGGUCUUGGAUAACUCCAGGGAUGGAGAGCCACAGCUUCUCGUGGCAGCCUAUGCUAGAGCCUCAUCACCCUCUGAGUGAAAAUUUUCCCCCCAACAUCUAAUUAAAUAUUCCCUCUUUUAGUUUAAAACUGUUCUCCCUUGCUCUAUCACUAUUAGUCCAUGUUAACAGUCAGCCUCCCUCCUGUUUGUAAGCUCCUUUUAAGCAUUGGAAAGCCACAAUAAGGUCUCCCUACUGGAGCCUUCUCUUCUCCAGGCUGAACAAGCCCAGCUCCCUCAGACUGUCUUUGUGGGAGAGGUGUUCCAGUCCUCUGAUCAUCUUUGUGGCCCUCCUCUGGAUACACUCCAAUAUAGCUGUAUGACAUUCAUGCACCUAGACCUGAAUACAAUACUCCAGAUGGGGCCUCACACAGUAGUAGUGAACAAUCACCUCACUGGCCCUGCUGGCCAUCCCUCUUUUGAUGCAAUCUGGGAUACAAUUAGACCUUCUGGGCUGCAAGCACACACUGCUGACUUAAGCCCAGCCUUUCCUCCAUCAGGACCCCCAAGUCCUUCUCUGCAGGGUUGCUUUCAAUGAGUCCUUCUCCCAGUAUGUAUGUAUGUGUACCCGAGACUGCUCCAACAAUAUGCAACACCUUGCUCUCACCUUUGUUGAAUCUCAUGAGGUUCAUGUGGGCUCACUUUUCAAGCUUGUCUAGGUCCCUUUGAAUGGUAUCCCUUCCUUCUUGGUGUGAUCAGCAAACUCACUGAGGGUGCGCUCAAUUCCACUGUGUUAUUGAUGAGGAUGUUGAAGAACAGUGGUCCCAAGAUGGACCCUUGUGAGACACCACUUGUGAUCAGCCUCCACUGAGACACAGAGCUGCUGACCACAAUCCUCUGGUUGCAGCUGUCCAACCAAUUUUUUAUCCACUGUAUAUUCCAACCUUCAAAUCUACUCAAAUUCUUUCCAAUUUAGAGAUAAGGAUGUAAUAAUAACGCUCUCAGGUUGUUUUCAAAAUAUCUUACAGACCACUCUGUGCUGAAUUCUGAUUCUUUUUGAUUCUUUUUUUGGGCAUAUUUGUCAAUGAUGAGUACCUGAUAAGCUCCAGUCUCACACAACAAUAAAAUCAGGUUCGUCUUCAGGGAGGAAACAAGCCCUUUCUCUGUGUGUCUAUACCUAUGCAGAACUUUCCACUGGCCUUGGCUGGAUCUCAUAGUGCCAACUGUACAAUUAGAAUAAUAUGACACUGUGUGGAGAAUAAGAAGCAUAAAUAAGUGAUGUUUUUUUGUUUGAAUGGCAUAUGCUUUUUAAUAGAUAUAGGCUGAAAGUAUGCUGGCCCUGCACUUAAAACAUCCCAAGGCCUGUUCUUCCUGGUUUCAGAGAUCUUGCUACUGUUAUUAUAAAAGUUAGAACUGGCUUUAGUUCCUGUGCCUUUUCAAUUCUUGCGACCUAAAAAGCUGCUGACAUUUCAAGUGACAAAUCUAGGCUCCUCCAGUUCCCAGAAGAUGAAGCAUAGCUUCAGAUAACAUGUGAAUCAGCUACUGCUGCCAAAUGGAAAUGGUGUCUUUUGGGGCUAAAACUUCAAAGAAAGGAUCCUGUAUUAGUAGCACUAAGUUUGCUGUACUUGCUGUUGUCUUGAACUUAAAAGCAGAUAAUAACGUUUGAAUCUGGAUAUGUAGAAGAUACCUUUCCUAACAGAACUCCCACCUCCCACAGGAAAAGAUGGCUUGGCAGCUGAACUACAAAAGCUCUGUAAUGACCUCUGUAAUGUUUAUUAGACAAUGAAAAGCUGUGCAGGGGUAAAAAAAAAAAAAAAAAAAAAAAAGGCAAUGCACGUAGGUGGCAAGGUGGGUGAAUAUUAUUUCUACCUUUCCUUUCAGGUCCUCAGAGGAAUCACUGGAUAUAUAAAUAAAAGCUACAAGCCACAAGAAUUACUGGAUAUAUAAAUUAAGCUACAAGCCAUUUCGCUGACUCUCAUCAACCUUGUUAAGUGAGAAAUCCAGAGAGGAUUGUGAUUCAGAGAGCAGCUGAUUGAUUCACCUCUUCCUGUUCUCACUCAGAGGCCACAGUACAUAAGCAGAAGGUCACAGGCCAUAUGGGAUGGAAGCCAUGCUCCAAAAUAAGUACUUUCCUCAGAAUGCAUGCAGAGAGGAACAUCAAGAUAUGUGCCUCUUCUUGUGUUCAAUUCAACACAGAAUUUGGCUUGAGUGUAGCAGAAACGUUUUUGGACACUGAGUAAUAUCACAAUUCCACAGUAAGCAAGUAAAAGGAAGUAGUGUCAUUAUAUUUAAUGACUCCUACAUUUAAAAAUAUCUGUGAAAAUUCUUGACACAGUAAGGAAACACAAAACAUACAGCAAUUGUUUGGAAUUGAAAUUCAUAUACGAAUAUUCAAGAAAGUCUGGGCUGAGUUUAUAUCCAACUCAAAAUAUAUAUAAUAAUAUAUAUAUAUUAUAAUAAAUAUAUGUAUAAUAUAUAUUUCCCUAUGCUUUACAGGCACUUGGAUCUAGUAUGUACGUGACUACCCAAAGCAGGCAGAAUUGUUUAAUUUAGCUUUCUAUAUACAACCUGUAGGUUAGGAACAGCGGACAGUACUCUGCAAUUUUACUGAUUGUUGUCUGUUUACCAUAAUUACAGAGAUAUUUUAAACUUCCGCAUUUUGUUGUAGGCAUAAUAUUAGGUAGGGAAUAGCAGCAGAACAUUUUGAGUAGUCUGUUAUUGUGGAUACAUCCUGAGGACUAGCUGAUGCUAUUUUUAGUCACUAUGUGGUUAACUGUGACUAGACUGAGGAUGUUAUUUUUUUGUUCAGUGUUUGAAGUUGCAAACAUUGAAUUUUGCAGUCUGAAAUUGCUGAAUUAAAAAAAAAUAUAUCUGAUUUUUAAUUAAAAGUUAUGAGUAUGCACACAGAUAUUUUCCUAUUACUGGUCUAUAUUGCUGUAGCUCAAUUAAAUUCAUUUAAGUUUCUGUUGAAGUAAGUCAGCUGAAUAAGAUAAAAACAUAAGUUCAUAAGCCAAUUCCAAUAUAUCCAUUAUUAAGGCUAUAUCCUUAAUCUAUGAUUUAUACAUAUGUAACCGUAUACAUUUGUGUGUGUAUAUAUAUGUAUAUAUAAAUGUGUAUGUAUGUAUAUAUACAUGCAUGUAAGUGCUGCCCUGAAAGUAAUGCCUCCUAUUUUAUUAUGUUGGCUGACAAAGUCAGAGGCAGAUGGUGGUGGUAUGGCAGUAGAGGUUGAACCUUCCCACAGAUAUUCCAUGACAUGUUGCCAAGCAACAGAUGGCAGCAGAGAGGCAGCCUGACAAAAUGAUGUCUCACACGGAAGUGGGUAUGAAGCAAAGCAGUGGAACUGAAUUCCUCCCUGUGGAAAAAAAUGGCACCCACCGACAUUCACUUAUGCUUGCUUGAUGUUGGUAGAAAUAGAAUUAAAGAAAGAACAUUGUAAAGCAACUGAAAUUUAAGAAAAGUAUACACAAAUCAGGUGUAUUCACAAUUAUUGGUCUGUACAAAGGACUUACAAAUAAUUUAAAAAAUGUUUUAAAUUCAUUUGUAUUCUUAUUUGCAAGGACUUGAUUUAACAUUUUGGACUAAGCUGUGACUGCCAUAACCUCCUAAUUUUGUGGCUACCAUAAUUAGCAGUUACAAUUGCAGCCUCUGUUCUGGGAAAUUCAGGAAUUUCUUUUGUGCAGGAUCAGUAGCCCAGAGGCAUGAUGAGGUAGAGAAGGAAACAGAAUCAUGCUGCCACUCCAUUUAAAUCUAAGAUAAAUAAAAUCUUUGUCCUAUACUCUGUGUUGACCAUACCCAUAUGACCUUGUAACGAUUCCUAUGCUGUUCAGAGCCUAACAGAAAACUUGGCUGUAUUUUGUAGAAUCUGGAUAGCUGACAUUGGCAGGGAUUUCUAGGCAUCUUCCAGUCCAGCUCCCUGCUCAAGCAGAGCCAGCUACAGCAGGUUGCUCAGGGCUUUGUCAAUUGACUUUUGAAUAUCUCCAAGAUGACCCCUCUGGAUAAUUCACUCCAUUAUAGAAAGGUUGUUCUUAUGUGUAAAUGGAAUUUCCUGUAUUUCAAUCUGUGACCAUUGUUUAUUCAUUGAGAAAUACUGCAAACAGUCUCGUUCCACUCUGACCCUACUCCUCUCUAGGCUGAAAAAUCCCAGUUCUCUCACACCCUCCUUGCACGGCAGAUGUUCCAGUCACUGAAUCAUUAUCAUGGCCCUCUGCCAGACUCAAUCCACUAAGUCCAUGUCUCUUGUACUUGGGCCUAAUACUCCAAAUAUGGCCUUUCCAAUACUUAGUAGAGGGAAAAGUUCAUGUUACUCAGCCUGUUGGCAAUGCUCUUCCUACUGUAUACCAGGAUGUUGUUUUGGACUUCUUUGCUACAAGCCCACAUUGCUGGCUUUUAUUCAACUUGUCUGCCAGUACGUACAACUGAGUUUUUGCAAAACUGCUUUCUAGCCAGUUGCCCCAGCUUGCACUGGUUUACAGAAUUAUUUCUCCCCAGGUGCAGGAGUUUGUACUUCACUUUUUGGAACUUUACAAGAUUCCUGUCAGCCUGUGGAGAUCUUUCUUAAUGGCAACACAAUCACCUGUUGUGUCAGUUGUUCCUCCCCAUACUGUAUUAGACUGCAAAAUUUCUGAGGGUAUCCUUUGGUCCCUCAUCUGUACCAUUAAUGAAGAUAUUAAACACUAUGAAGCAUUAGCUGUGGCUCUUAGCGGUAGUUGUUAGAGUUAGGAUAGUAUGGUUAGGCUGUGGUUGGACUUGAUCUUUAAGGUCUUUUCCAACCUGAGCAGUUUUAGGAUUCUAUGACCACACUGAGAAGAAAAUUAGCCUGGAAGUGGCUGCAAUGGGUAAUGAUUAUCUGCUUCUGUUUGUUAUGAAACAUAUGACUUUAUAAUUGCUUCCUAAAAAUGAUCAUUUCUCUUCACCAUCUCCCCCUAUUCUCCUUCUCUUUCCGAGCAGGAAAAGUCAUAUAGACUCAUUCUUAUCUGAGAAACCUUCUUCAUUUUUCUUUGUAAUCGUUCUUCUUCAUUGUCCAUCUCAUUUAUUGUACUUGGCCAGUACACCAAUGUCUACCAGCUGCCAGCUGUUAAAGGAAAAUAAGAAGAUGCAUCCAUGCUGAAUUGUUUCCCUGUCUGUCAUGAAAACAGUUUGCAUUCCACACAAAAAAUUCAUUCGUGGUGUAAGGGAAUUGACGUCAGUACUGUUACACCCAGAAUGAUUUUGGCCCUGCAUAUUCAUUAUGCAAUACUUUCAGAUGCAGAACUCCAUCAUGAACAAAUGACUGCCAGAUGUGAGAGUAAGAUCUGCUCCUUUUUGUGAGGUCUAUGAACAUAUUCCCAUAUGUGGACUGUAAACUUUCUCAGUGUAUAAAUCUAUAUAUUCUUCAAGAAUAACUAUGCGGAAAAUAUUUUAAAUAUCAAUAUAAAAAACAAUAUAAAAAACAAUAACAAAUAAAAACCUAUAUUUAUUGCUUCAAA
This is a long non-coding RNA of Tympanuchus pallidicinctus (lesser prairie-chicken), 6745 nucleotides long. RefSeq lists it as uncharacterized. The record is from RefSeq and is a predicted model, not a curated record. NCBI's taxonomy places the organism in Eukaryota, Metazoa, Chordata, Aves, Galliformes, Phasianidae. The transcript is spliced from 2 exons.